UCCCUGAGACCAUAAUUUUGAUGCAGGACAUCAAGAUUAUGAGCUUGGGAACC
RNAcentral lists this microRNA precursor (53 nucleotides) under Lottia gigantea (owl limpet). RNAcentral describes it as "Lgi-Mir-10-P3_pre stem-loop". Lineage: Eukaryota; Metazoa; Mollusca; Gastropoda; Lottiidae. The record is from RNAcentral.